CGUACACUCCUACGGGAGGCAGCAGUAGGGAAUCUUCCACAAUGGGUGCAAACCUGAUGGAGCAAUGCCGCGUGAGUGAAGAAGGUCUUCGGAUCGUAAAGCUCUGUUGUUAGAGAAGAACACGUGCUAGGUAACUACUAGCGCCUUGACGGUAUCUAACCAGAAAGUCACGGCUAACUACGUGCCAGCAGCCGCGGUAAUACGUAGGCGACAAGCGUUGUCCGGAUUUAUUGGGCGUAAAGGGAGCGCAGGCGGUCUGUUUAGUCUAAUGUGAAAGCCCACGGCUUAACCGUGGAACGGCAUUGGAAACUGACAGACUUGAAUGUAGAAGAGGAAAAUGGAAUUCCAAGUGUAGCGGUGGAAUGCGUAGAUAUUUGGAGGAACACCAGUGGCGAAGGCGAUUUUCUGGUCUAACAUUGACGCUGAGGCUCGAAAGCGUGGGGAGCGAACAGGAUUAGAAACCCGAGUAGUCCCAUG
RNAcentral lists this ribosomal RNA (477 nucleotides) under uncultured organism. RNAcentral's name for it is "partial 16S ribosomal RNA". It matches the Rfam family "Bacterial small subunit ribosomal RNA", at positions 330 to 799 of the family's 1533-position model. The record is from RNAcentral.